GCAGUAGUAGUUCAGUGGUAGAAUGUCUCCUUCCCAAGGAGAAGGUCGCCGGUUCGAAUCCGGUCUACUGCUCCA
This 75-nucleotide transfer RNA is filed under the name Candidatus Berkelbacteria bacterium CG08_land_8_20_14_0_20_39_8. Its description in RNAcentral is "tRNA-Gly". It matches the Rfam family "tRNA". From Rfam's summary of the family: Transfer RNA (tRNA) molecules are approximately 80 nucleotides in length. Their secondary structure includes four short double-helical elements and three loops (D, anti-codon, and T loops). Further hydrogen bonds mediate the characteristic L-shaped molecular structure. tRNAs have two regions of fundamental functional importance: the anti-codon, which is responsible for specific mRNA codon recognition, and the 3' end, to which the tRNAs corresponding amino acid is attached (by aminoacyl-tRNA synthetases). tRNAs cope with the degeneracy of the genetic code in two manners: having more than one tRNA (with a specific anti-codon) for a particular amino acid; and 'wobble' base-pairing, i.e. permitting non-standard base-pairing at the 3rd anti-codon position. The record is from RNAcentral. Lineage: Bacteria; Candidatus Berkelbacteria.